UACGUAGGGGGCAAGCGUUGUCCGGAAUUAUUGGGCGUAAAGGGUGCGUAGGCGGCCGAUCAAGUCAGGUGUGAAAGACCCGUGCUUAACAUGGGGGUUGCACUUGAAACUGGUUGGCUUGAGUAUGGGAGAGGCAAGCGGAAUUCCCGGUGUAGCGGUGAAAUGCUUAGAUAUCACGAAGAACUCCGAUUGCGAAGGCAGCACACUAAGCCGUAACUGACGUUCAUGCUCGAAAGUGUGGGUAUCAAACAGG
RNAcentral lists this ribosomal RNA (253 nucleotides) under Phocaeicola plebeius DSM 17135. Its description in RNAcentral is "partial 16S ribosomal RNA". It matches the Rfam family "Bacterial small subunit ribosomal RNA", at positions 524 to 776 of the family's 1533-position model. Lineage: Bacteria; Pseudomonadati; Bacteroidota; Bacteroidia; Bacteroidales; Bacteroidaceae. The record is from RNAcentral.